GCCCCCCAUUAUGUUCGAAGGGGUGUUCCUGUCAGGGUUAAUGCUUAGGAGGGAUGGGUUUGGGAACACCUGGGCCUUGCUGGGGGAGAGGUGGCUGGGAGGCAGGAGGUUGGUUCCAAUUGUUGUUUUCUCCAUACCUAAGUGGCAUAUUAAAACUAAAAUCAACAUUAAAAAAUAAAAAAUACAACUAAGGUGUAUGUAAUAUGGACACUCUUCCCCCCCAAUUUGCUACGAUAAAGCAUUAAUACCUGGGUCCUGAUGUAGAGGAUGGUGGAUAUGUAGGCAUUGGCUGGAAACAGAUGAAGAGAGCAGAAUUACUACCACACGUAAACUGGUUAAUUAGUCAUGUACUGGAAAAGGUCCUAGGUCUGUUUGUGUUGUAUAGCCCACUCCCAUGACCAGGCUAGAUCUGUUUGUGUUGUAUAGCCCACUCCCAUGACCAGGCUAGAUCUGUUUGUGUUGUAUAGCCCACUCCCAUGACCAGGCUAGGUCUGUUUGUGUUGUAUAGCCCACUCCCAUGACCAGGCUAGAUCUGUUUGUGUUGUAUAGCCCCCUCCCAUGACCAGGCUAGAUCUGUUUGUGUUGUAUAGCCCACUCCCAUGACCAGGCUAGGUCUGUUUGUGUUGUAUAGACCACUCCCAUGACCAGGCUAGAUCUGUUUGUGUUGUAUAGACCACUCCCAUGACCAGGCUAGAUCUGUUUGUGUUGUAUAGCCCACUCCCAUGACCAGGCUAGAUCUGUUUGUGUUGUAUAGACCACUCCCAUGACCAGGCUAGAUCUGUUUGUGUUGUAUAGCCCACUCCCAUGACCAGGCUAGAUCUGUUUGUGUUGUAUAGCCCACUCCCAUGACCAGGCUAGAUCUGUUUGUGUUGUAUAGCCCACUCCCAUGACCAGGCUAGGUCUGUUUGUGUUGUAUAGCCCACUCCCAUGACCAGGCUAGAUCUGUUUGUGUUGUAUAGACCACUCCCAUGACCAGGCUAGAUCUGUUUGUGUUGUAUA
This is a long non-coding RNA of Oncorhynchus tshawytscha (Chinook salmon), 999 nucleotides long. Lineage: Eukaryota; Metazoa; Chordata; Actinopteri; Salmoniformes; Salmonidae. The record is from Ensembl.